Molecule: transfer RNA, 71 nt
Filed under: Marmota monax (woodchuck)
Lineage: Eukaryota; Metazoa; Chordata; Mammalia; Rodentia; Sciuridae
Description: tRNA.Val
Rfam family: tRNA
About the family: Transfer RNA (tRNA) molecules are approximately 80 nucleotides in length. Their secondary structure includes four short double-helical elements and three loops (D, anti-codon, and T loops).
Source: RNAcentral
GGGGCUGUAGCUUAGAGGUAGAGCACUUGCAUCACACGUAUGAGGAACUGGGUUCAAGCCUCAGCACCACA